UCGCGGCCUAUCAGCUUGUUGGUGAGGUAAAGGCUCACCAAGGCGACGACGGGUAGCCGGCCUGAGAGGGUGACCGGCCACACUGGAACUGAGACACGGUCCAGACUCCUACGGGAGGCAGCAGUGGGGAAUAUUGCACAAUGGGCGCAAGCCUGAUGCAGCAACGCCGCGUGAGGGAUGAAGGCCUUCGGGUUGUAAACCUCUUUUAGCAGGGAAGAAGCGAAAGUGACGGUACCUGCAGAAAAAGCACCGGCUAACUACGUGCCAGCAGCCGCGGUAAUACGUAGGGUGCAAGCGUUGUCCGGAAUUAUUGGGCGUAAAGAGCUCGUAGGCGGUUUGUCGCGUCUGCUGUGAAAACUGGAAGCUCAACUUCCAGCCUGCAGUGGGUACGGGCAGACUAGAGUGCGGUAGGGGAGAACGGAAUUCCUGGUGUAGCGGUGGAAUGCGCAGAUAUCAGGAGGAACACCGAUGGCGAAGGCAGUUCUCUGGGCCGUUACUGACGCUGAGGAGCGAAAGCGUGGGGAGCGAACAGGAUUAGAUACCCUGGUAGUCCACGCCGUAAACGGUGGGUGCUAGCUGUGGGCCACAUUCCACGUGGUCCGUGACGAAGUUAACACAUUAAGCACCCCGCCUGGGGAGUACGG
RNAcentral lists this ribosomal RNA (644 nucleotides) under uncultured bacterium. Its description in RNAcentral is "bacterial SSU rRNA". It matches the Rfam family "Bacterial small subunit ribosomal RNA", at positions 231 to 885 of the family's 1533-position model. The record is from RNAcentral.